This 301-nucleotide ribosomal RNA is filed under the name uncultured bacterium. Its description in RNAcentral is "partial 16S ribosomal RNA". It matches the Rfam family "Bacterial small subunit ribosomal RNA", at positions 509 to 809 of the family's 1533-position model. The record is from RNAcentral.
CAGCAGCCGCGGGAAUACAGAGGGUGCGAGCGUUAAUCGGAUUUACUGGGCGUAAAGCGUGCGUAGGCGGCUUCUUAAGUCGGAUGUGAAAUCCCUGAGCUUAACUUAGGAAUUGCAUUCGAUACUGGGAAGCUAGAGUAUGGGAGAGGAUGGUAGAAUUCCAGGUGUAGCGGUGAAAUGCGUAGAGAUCUGGAGGAAUACCGAUGGCGAAGGCAGCCAUCUGGCCUAAUACUGACGCUGAGGUACGAAAGCAUGGGGAGCAAACAGGAUUAGAUACCCCUGUAGUCCCUGUCUUUUAUAC